Molecule: ribosomal RNA, 165 nt
Filed under: uncultured bacterium
Lineage: Bacteria
Description: partial 16S rRNA
Rfam family: Bacterial small subunit ribosomal RNA
Source: RNAcentral
UAGGGAAAUCUUCCACAAUGGACGCAAGUCUGAUGGAGCAACGCCGCGUGAGUGAAGAAGGUCUUCGGAUCGUAAAACUCUGUUGUUAGAGAAGAACACGAGUGAGAGUAACUGUUCAUUCGAUGACGGUAUCUAACCAGCAAGUCACGGCUAACUACGUGCCAG